This 253-nucleotide ribosomal RNA is filed under the name uncultured bacterium. Its description in RNAcentral is "partial 16S ribosomal RNA". It matches the Rfam family "Bacterial small subunit ribosomal RNA", at positions 524 to 776 of the family's 1533-position model. The record is from RNAcentral.
UACAGAGGUGGCAAGCGUUGUUCGGAAUUACUGGGCGUAAAGGGCGCGUAGGCGGUUUGGACAGUCAGAUGUGAAAUUCCUGGGCUCAACCUGGGGGCUGCAUUUGAUACGUUCGGACUAGAGUGGGGAAGAGGGUCGUGGAAUUCCCAAUGUAGAGGUGAAAUUCGUAGAUAUUGGGAAGAACACCGGUGGCGAAGGCGGCGACCUGGUCCUUGACUGACGCUGAGGCGCGAAAGCGUGGGGAGCAAACAGG